This 467-nucleotide ribosomal RNA is filed under the name uncultured bacterium. RNAcentral describes it as "partial 16S ribosomal RNA". It matches the Rfam family "Bacterial small subunit ribosomal RNA", at positions 28 to 507 of the family's 1533-position model. The record is from RNAcentral.
GACGAACGCUGGCGGCGUGCUUAACACAUGCAAGUCGAACGGAAAGGCCCUGCUUUUGUGGGUGCUCGAGUGGGGAACGGGUGAGUAACACGUGAGUAACCUUCCCUUGACUUUGGGAUAACUUCAGGGAACUGGGGCUAAUACCGGGUAGGAGCUCCUGCUGGAUGGUGGGGGUUGGAAAGUUUCGGCGGUUGGGGAUGGACUCGCGGCUUAUCAGCUUGUUGGUGGGGUAGUGGCUUACCAAGGCUUUGACGGGUAGCCGGCCUGAGAGGGUGACCGGCCACAUUGGGACUGAGAUACGGCCCAGACUCCUACGGGAGGCAGCAGUGGGGAAUAUUGCACAAUGGGCGGAAGCCUGAUGCAGCAACGCCGCGUGCGGGAUGACGGCCUUCGGGUUGUAAACCGCUUUCGCCUGUGACGAAGCGUGAGUGACGGUAAUGGGUAAAGAAGCACCGGCUAACUACGUG